RNAcentral lists this ribosomal RNA (459 nucleotides) under uncultured bacterium. Its description in RNAcentral is "partial 16S ribosomal RNA". It matches the Rfam family "Bacterial small subunit ribosomal RNA", at positions 338 to 795 of the family's 1533-position model. The record is from RNAcentral.
CCUACGGGGUGCUGCAGUGAGGAAUAUUGGUCAAUGGGCGGGAGCCUGAACCAGCCAAGCCGCGUGAGGGAAGAAGGUACAGCGUAUCGUAAACCUCUUUUGUCAGGGAACAAAGGCGGGGACUAGUCCCCGGAUGAGGGUACCUGAAGAAAAAGCAUCGGCUAACUCCGUGCCAGCAGCCGCGGUAAUACGGAGGAUGCGAGCGUUAUCCGGAUUUAUUGGGUUUAAAGGGUGCGCAGGCGGUCUGUUAAGUCAGCGGUCAAAGCCCGGGGCUCAACCCCGGCCCGCCGUUGAAACUGGCAGUCUCGAGUUGGAGAGAAGUAUGCGGAAUGCGCGGUGUAGCGGUGAAAUGCAUAGAUAUCGCGCAGAACUCCGAUUGCGAAGGCAGCAUGCCGGCUCCACACUGACGCUGAGGCACGAAAGCGUGGGUAUCGAACAGGAUUAGAUACCCUGGUAGUC